Molecule: long non-coding RNA, 20552 nt
Filed under: Trifolium pratense (red clover)
Lineage: Eukaryota; Viridiplantae; Streptophyta; Magnoliopsida; Fabales; Fabaceae
Description: long non-coding RNA (TPRA_LNC000437)
Source: RNAcentral
GCACAAACACCUAGUUUUAAUGUGUCACUAGGACAUUUUUGUGUGGUUGAAGGAGGUGGGGUACUAGCCUGAGGUGGAGGACUAGCAUUUGGUGUUGUUGAAGGUGGUGGAGAGCUAGCAUUAGGUGUUGUUGAUGGUGGUGGAGGACUAGCAUUUGGUGUUGUUGAAGGUGGUGGAGGGCUAGCAUUAGGUGUUGAAGGUGGUGGGGUACUAGCCUUAGGUGGAGGGCUAGCAUUAGGUGUUGUUGAAGGUGGUGGAGGACUAGCCUUAGGUGUUUUUGAUGGUGGUGGAGGGCUAGCAUUAGGUGUUGAAGGUGGUGGGGUACUAGCCUUAGGUGGAGGGCUAGNNNNNNNNNNNNNNNNNNNNNNNNNNNNNNNNNNNNNNNNNNNUUGAUGGUGGUGGAGGACUGGCCUUAGGUGUUUUUGAAGGUGGUGGGGUACUAGCCUUAGGUGGAGGGCUAGCAUUAGGUGUUGUUGAAUAUGGAGGAGGACUAGCCUUAGGUGUUGUUGAUGGUGGUGGAGGACAAGGUGAAGGUGGUGGAGGGCUAGGCUUAGGUGUUGGAUGAGAGAAUGCUGAAUAAGCAAGGAGAGAAAACAAUAUAAUGAGUGCACUAAGUUUGUUGGAAGCCAUUGUUAAGAAAUGAAGACUAAUGUUUUUGUGUGUUUUGAUGUUUGAAUAAUAGAAUGAGAAACAAAGGGGGAAUUGGAUCACUUUUAUAGGCAAUUGUUUUUUAGUGUUGUUAAUUUUUUCCUACUAGACUUCUAGAAUGUCUCAUAACUAAGUCAAACCAUAUUAUAGAACAAUUGCUAUUAAUAUUAAUUUGUUAAAGUCAAAUUUACAUUAGAUAUUUUUUAUCUUAUUUAUUUGUAACACUUUAGUUAUUUAUAUAUAUCUUUUUAUCAUUUAAACUUUUUAUUUUUUAUAACAUGCACAUAUAAAUUAUUUUUCAUAUUUUUUUAUUAAAAAAAUGCAUAAUUUUAUUUUUCAAUUUUUUUAUUAGAAUUAAACAAAACCAUAAUUUUGACAAACAUCGUUCAUUAUCUUCAUUAAUAUCUUUGUAUCUCUAAUAUUUGAUUUCUGCCAUUAAGAAGAUACCAACAACAACAACAAUGUUUUGCUUUUUGAAUUUUGAAUUUUUUGUUUUUGUUUAAAGAAGAUAAAAAUAUGAAUAUAUUGAUGAAAAUGAUGAAUGAUUUUCAUCAAAAUUUUGAGUUUGUUUAAUUUUAAUUAAAAAAAUAGAAAAAAAAAUUAUAUGUGCGCAUCAUAAAAGAUAAAUGUCCUAUAUUAUCUUUACAUCAAUACUUGAUAAAAUUAUUUUGACAAGUAUUAUUUUUUGUCUAAUAGUCUAGUGGCUACAAAUUUCACUUUAAAAGUGAAUAAAUGGGUCCGGGUUUUGAACUCAUGCUCGUGCAUAAAAUAUGCGAUGUCCUUACCAACUGAAUUAAGCUCACAUAGACUAAAAUUAUUAUCUUUAUUUCAUUUAUAAACAUUUUCUUAACAUGUGUGAAAUAAGUGCGGAGGAAGAAAUAGUAGAGAGAUCUCUCCUUAUAGUGGCGUAUGCAAGAGUUUAAUUAUUUGUAAGAUUUAAUUAUAGAGGUUUGAUUAAUGAAAUGUACUCUUCAUUUUAAACUAUUCUUAUUCUACAUUGUUGGGGAGCAUGAAUAGGCAAAAUUUAGUGUUAUACGCUUGAAAAAUAUGAACAAUACUCUUAUAUAGUGAUUUGAGAAGAGAGUGUAAAGAGAAGAGGAAAAAAAGAAAGAAAGGUAUGUAUGAACAAUGUAUAAUGUAAUAUUUUUGUCUAAAUAAAUGUGUUCAUAUAACAUUUUUGUUCUUCAAAUUAGUUAAUAGUUGGUAUCAGAGUGAAGUUUAAUUUAAAGUGGUCGACUUGAGUAAACAAUCUCUAAUGUGAUAUAGUUGCAUGGAUGAUCUCACCGCGUGAAAAAGAUAUAGUUGUGUAGCACAAGAUUAGAGUACAUGCCUGGCAUGUGUCUCAAGCUAUAGCUAGCAAGACACAACCCACCUGUUUUUGUUGUGUGUGACUUAAAUUCUAUAGUUCCAAUAUGUUUCGAGUGCCUGGCGUCUUGAUCCCAACUGUGAGGAACUUCAUGUCGCGCACGAGGCGCUUCAGGGGGCGUGUGCGCCUCAUGGCGAGGCGCUUCACUAAAAUCAUGUUUAAUUAAUAAGAGGAAUUCAAUUUCAAUACUUCCAACCCUAAAAUCAAAUAUAGAUUGACUUUUUAGAUAAAUUAGGAGCAUUAUGAGACAUCAUAGUGACUAGUAGACAUCAAAGAGACAGCUAGUAGCAUUAAUCUUAUACCUCUAAAUACAGAAUGACUAGUUAAACAAAAGAUGAAAAAAAUGUAGUAGCGAAACAGAGUUAGGAAAAAGAUAAGGAAUUACACACAUAUUGACAAGUUGUUUUUUCUGACAAAAUACACGUUGACAAUUUGUGAUUGUGAUAUUUUGCAUGUUGUUUUCAGCCUAUUACGUUAAAAUUAUAAUUAGAAAAUGGGGUACGUAGAUCGAGUUUGUCUUUGUUUCAUUUCAUCCUUGUUACUAGGUUGUUAACAUGAAUUAUUGAAAUCAAUACACAUUCCUAGAAUUCUUAUGUCGGUAUAUGCAUGGUUACAAUUGCAGUGGCUAUAGCAAAGUCAGCACAUCCUUUAGAAGGUGACGGAUGUAAGAGUCAAAGUAAAUAAAUAUGAUUUUAUUAUUAUUAAAACAAAAUCCACCGCAAUUAAAAUUGCAUAAAGGUCUUAGUUGGCUAACGAACUAGAAGACAAUGAAAGAGGAUUAAUCAAAGAGUAUUUUAAUUAAGAUAUGAAUGUUGCCUAUACAAAUAUUAGCUAUAAUAAAUGUCGAUAUUCGACUAAACUCAACGAUGGUGUGUGUUUCUGUUUCCUAAUUGUUGAUGCUUGUACAUUGCAUUGCACCCCUAUAUAUUUUGCGGCGUUUUCUGGUAGUUUGUCCAUGCAACACAUCCUCUCAAAUCAUAUAUAUACUCCCUCCGGCCUCAUAUAUAAGCAAAAGUGACUUUUUUAAAUCCAUUGAAAAAUGAAUGUAUUUAGUCUAAAAUAUAGACCAAAUACAUCACUUUUUCAAUGAAUCCAAAAAAGCUAUUUUUGUAUACAUAUGAGGCCGGAGGAAAUACUAUUUCUAUCAACAAAUAAACACAAUAAUAAAACAAUAUGCAAUUAAAAUGAAAUUCCCUCACCUUGCAAGAACUUGCGAGGUGCAAACAAAUACAUGGCAACAAACAUAAUAAAUUGUCUCCAUGACCAUAGUUUAUUUGGCAGUAACAUCACACUAUAUAUGCAAAUUAAACUUGGAGUUCAAAUUUCAAACCACUACUAAAAACAGGCUUAUUAGUGCGAGUCUUUAAGUGGAGGUUUUAUAAAACCCCCGAAAAUUAGGAGAGAAUAUAAAAUACGAAAAACAAUUUCACUCAAUGCACUCUUGAAGAUUUUUUUAACAUUAGACUUAUUCACUUUUAAAAGUAAAAUUCUAGUCACUAGACUAAAAAACAAUAAAUCUGAUGCACAAGGGACACCAAGAUUUUGACAUGGAAACCUUGCAACGUCGACCCCCAAAAGUAAUGAUAAAAAAGCUAAAACCCCCUCCGUUCCUAAUCUUGAGUUCUUCUAUCUUUUUAUUUUUAUCCUAAAAUAAUGUUCUUUUAAUAAAUCAAUGUACAAUUAAUUAUGUUUUACUAUUUGUACCCUUACAGAAACAAAAUACAUUCAUUAAAUAAAUUAUAUUUUUUCUUAAUAAAUUAAGGGUAAAAAUGACUUAACUUAUUCAAAUUUAUUAUUUCUUAAUUGAUAUACCAAACUCUAAAAGAACCAAAUAUUAGAGAUAAAGAGAAUACUAUAUACAUCAUUCACUAAAUUUUACUCUUUGUUGGGAGGUGAACAUUUUUUUUUUGAACUGCUAAAUUUUAUUAAUAAUGCAACUGAGCCCAAGACAAGCAUGGUACACAUACAAGUACAUCACAAAGGAAGAAAAAUAAACUAGUGAAAACAUCUAAUCCACCAAUACUCGUUACAUGCGCUUAAAUUAAAAAUCCCUGAACAAACUACUUCAAAAGUACAACAAAAUCAAAAUAACAGCAUACCAACGCCUCCACCCAUCCUCCUCAACAUAAACCUCAUCGCAUCAGCCACAACCGAAACGACAUUCUCGAAGCCAAACAAGAUUCGCUGCACCAAACACCAAAACCAAAACCUUUGAAAGACACCAACACCAACACUAACACCAAAACCUUUGAAUGACCCGAAUCGAGACAAUAAGCCAAACCCUUUGGAAUAUCAGCAGUGAUUACAAUAAAGGACGGAAUUGGAUUAAAAUUAUGUUCUCAUAUAUACAUUUGUGUGUUGAGCCGAUGAUGGAUAAGAUCCGAUUCAUUUCUUUCUUAAAAAUGGUUUUGGGUAAGAAAGUCAGGAUCUUCACGUACCUUUUACGAGGAACACUUUCUAUGCAAGUGCUAAUGUUUUAUUUCAUAUCUUUUUCUUGUUGCUUUCAUUUGGUGGACUUUCUGUUGUGUCACAUCUUCUCUCGAUAUAUAUACUUUUAUUUUGGGUUUGCCUCUUGUUUUAUUGGAUUGGAAAUACCCUGGGGGUCCUUUUAUUUUUCUUUAUAUUCAAGUUUUAUACCAAAAAUACACAAUUGUCACCCGUUUCAUUUUCAUCCAUAUGAUAGUUGUCUAUAAAUCAAAUAUUAAUGUGGUAAAUGUUUCUGUAACCAUAAAAAUAAAAUAAAAGUGGUGAAUGUUUCUUUUGGAGCUACCGUAUCGUUGUAUUCUUAAUCAUUAAAUAAAAGUGUUUAUAUAUUUAAUAAUUACUUCUCUUAUAUAUCUUUUUCACCUUCUAUUUAUUUUAUUAUCAUUAACUCUUGGUUNNNNNNNNNNNNNNNNNNNNAGUGACAAGCAAUCAUAAAAUGAAACUUUGCCAAAUUUAUUAAAAUUCAAAGAACAAGUUACUAAAUGAGGCAAACAUGCUUACCCCAUUUUUAAAAUGAUAUAAAUGCCACACACAAAUAGAUAUAGUGCGUAAAUAUUGACGAUGAGUUUAGCAGAAUUACGGUAAUAAUGUAAUUUUGACGAAAAUCACACUUUAAAGUUUCAACAAAAUUAUAAUAUCACUGAUCGUGCACACAAAUAAUAGUAAGUAUGGCUUGAACCUUUGAUAUGAAAUUCUAAGAACAUUGGAAACCAGAAGGAACAGAUUUUUCACAAGCACUAAGUAGAAGACUUAGUGUGACAGGUACAUCCAAGUUGAUACCAAGAAUAUUAGCCUUAAUAGCAGUACAAAGACAAAGUGCUGCAUCCAAAUCAGCCAAACCUUGAAUCAAUGCACAACACUUGCUUGAAGCAGGACUUCCAACAAUAACAUUAACAAGUCCUAAAACAUCAGCACAAACACCUAGUUUUAAUGUGUCACUAGGACAUUUUUGUGUUGUUGAAGGAGGUGGAGCACUAGCCUUAGGUGGAGGACUAGCAUUUGGAGUUGUUGAAGGUGGUGGAGUACUAACCUUAGGUGGAGGACUAGCAUUGGGUGUUGGUGGUGGAUUACUAGCCUUAGGUGGAGGGCUAGCAUGUGGUGGAGGAUGUGUUUUUGAUGGUGGUGGAGGACAAGGUGAAGGUGGUGGAGGGCUAGGCUUCGGUGUUGGAGGUGGUUUGCAUGAACCACAAGCAUGAGAGAAUGUUGAAUAAGCAAGGAGGGAAAACAAUAUAAUGAGUGCACUAAGCUUGUUGGAAGCCAUUUUUACACUAAUGUUUUGUGUGUUCUGAUGUUGAAUAANNNNNNNNNNNNNNNNNNNNNNNNNNNNNNNNNNNNNNNNNNNNNNNNNNNNNNNNNNNNNNNNNNNNNNNNNNNNNNNNNNNNNNNNNNNNNNNNNNNNNNNNNNNNNNNNNNNNNNNNNNNNNNNNNNNNNNNNNNNNNNNNNNNNNNNNNNNNNNNNNNNNNNNNNNNNNNNNNNNNNNNNNNNNNNNNNNNNNNNNNNNNNNNNNNNNNNNNNNNNNNNNNNNNNNNNNNNNNNNNNNNNNNNNNNNNNNNNNNNNNNNNNNNNNNNNNNNNNNNCUUAACAAUGGAAGAUUGCUGGAAAUCUUCAUCAAUCCCUUUAACUUCUUCAAGUUUCGAUGGUUGUGGUGCUUCGAUGCUGUUCACUGAUGAACAACCCUGUCUAGGUACACACAUGUGGGUAGACAGCAUAUUGCUAUUUGGGGUUGAUGGUUUCUGAGAAAAUUUUGUAUCAACUUCCUUGUCCAUCUCUAUCACUUUGAAUCUGAUCCUUUUAUGCUUCAAUGCGUGAUCAAUAGUAAAAGGUUCAUCACAUACAAAACAUAAACCCAAUUCCAUCUUCUCCUCCACAUCGAGAGCACUCAAAAUUUUCACCAAAUUAUGUUUUGAACCCAUNNNNACGGGUAAAUAGAUUCUAGGGACGAAACCGAUAGAAUCGAGUCUUAAAGUAGGAAUUCUAAUGAAUUGAGUAGAAUUCGGUACAAAUGAGAUUAUGCAAACAUGAGAGAGUUUUGAUUCUUGAGAAGAAGAUAAUUUGUUGAAUAUUAAUUGAUUUCUUUCAAAUGAGGCACAAGAUCUUUAAAUACAACUCUCAGGGCUAAAAGAGUAAAUAACAUAAAAUAAACUAUUUAUUUAAAAUAAACUAUUAAACUAUACUUAAUUCAUAAAGUGUUCAACCUCCACUUUUCUAAGUAAUGUGGGAUUUAACCACUCACACUUACCACAACUAUCUCCCACUCAAGUGUGAGUCCAUCCAUUCUUGGAUAUGCUCCCCGGCCCUCAAGCAGAAGCUUUCUUCAUCCUACACUUGUACCACUGUAAGCCACAUUGCUCGACGGGACUCGCCGCCUGACCACCUUUGUCAAGAAGACUUUCGAUACAUGGAGCCAGUUCAACCCUUUGUCGAUCCAUCGACUCUAAUACCAUUGUUGGGUCAUUACGAGGGGACAACCGGUGGAUCAUCCCCAUUGGGUUCAAGAACAACUUCACAUGUGAGUUGGACACCACACUUUUAUAGGCGCACACAUAAAUGAUAAAAAGUAAAUCAUAAAUAUAAUUUAUUCACAUCAAUUGACGACAUUGACUAUUUGAGUUUUGUAUGUGUGCCCAAAUUUAAAUAGUUCGUGGUUGUGCCCAUAAAAGUGUUCCGGCCUCCAUAUUAUUUUAGAAAAUUUGAUUGAACUUUCUAAAUAAUCUUUCCAAAAAAUGACCCAAGAACAUGGUCAUUAUAUUCUUAUCCCUAAAAUAUUGUGUAACUUAUUUCAUAAUUUUUUUUAUCAUCAAAUAUAUAAACAUGUAUACAGUAAAUGAGAAUAUCAAAAUCAUAAAAUUUAUCGUAAUAGUUGCACCUAAUUUUGCAAGAAUCAAAAUAAUCAAAUUACUCGGGUCUAAAAUUGCAAAACAAACUUGCAAACGGCAAAACAGAAUAACAAGAGUUGCAAGACUCUAAGUUAACUAAAGUUAUGGCUCACUAAAGUUAUGGCUCACAAAAUAACAAGGUUGAUGCAAUUUACCAGUUUAUACUAAUAAUAUGAAUGCAGCUGUGAGUUUGUUUACAAUAUUUUAUUUUUUUUAGCAAUUUUAAUUUUAUAUUAUAUCAAUGUAAUCUAUUAAUCUAAAUGAAUAUUUGAAAUAACAGAAGUGCAAGACACUCUAAAUUAACUAAAGUUAUAUUUUACAAAAUAACAAGGUUUAAGAUUGAGAUAUGUUACGACAAAAAGUGAAAAAAAUUAUUGGAUUUAGAAUAAAAAAAAAAAUUUAAUGAGCUGAACAAACUUUUAUUUACAAUAAAAUAUUAGUGUUUUUUUAUAAAAAAAAAAAAAUUAGUUUUGUUAGUAAUUAUGUUGGGAGUGAUUUUCAAACACUCAACCAAUUCCUUACCACUCCACUUCUCAACUCUACAAUAUCUUCAAGCCAUCAUAUUCUAUCCCCUAUCAAAUCAAAAUACAAAAUAUAUGCACAGUUAGGAAAAUGAUUAGGAAUUAGAUGUUGAUGUUUGAAGUGUGAAUUGAGUUUAUAUCAGAUCAAAAAGUAGACGUUAUGAUCCAUGAAACUAAUAAUACCUUAAGGUUUUCCGUUAAUUAUGAUGUGUUGUCUAACUCACUUGUGUAGUUGUUCAAGACCCGAUAUGAUGAUCCUUAAACCCCCUCGUGACCCAUGCAACAAUAGUAUCAGAGUUAAUGGUUUGACGAAGGGUUCGAUCGACUCUAGCUUGUAUGUCUUCCUAACAAAGGUGGUCAGACAACAUGUCCGUUGAGUGCCACAACUGCGGUGCAAGUGUAUGGAUGAAAAAAAUUCCGUUUGAGGGAGAACAUGCCCAUAAAAAAAUGGAUGGACUCACACUUGAGGGGAAAAUUGUUGGUAUUUCAAGUGUGAGUUGAGUCUCAUAUCAAAUGUAGUGAAUUUUGAACAUUUUAUUAGUGAAAUGACCCAUGAACGUAAUGCCUUAAAGUUUGAGUUAAGAUGUGGUGUUCAAUUCGUUGAAGACCUAUAUGAUCUCGAAUCCCCUAGUAACCCAACAUUAGAUACAUAUUGACAAGUUGUUUCUUCUUGACAAAACACACAUCUAGUUGUGAAUGGGAUAUUUUUUUGCAAGUUGUUUAAUACGUUAAAUUAUAUUGAGAAACUGGGGUAUAGAGUUUGCCUUGUUUCAUACCCAUUACUAGGUUGUUAACAUGAAUUAAAUUGAAAUCCAAAAUAGGAAAAUUUUGUGCAGUAUAACACACGCACAAGUUCAUAUGCCUACAAAUUUUGAGUCGGCUAGGCUCCGAUUGCAGUGACUAUAGGGCAAGUUCAACAUCCUUUAGAAGGUGAGAGAUCAUAAGAGUCAAUGAUGUAAAUAGGAUUAUUUAAUUAUUAGAACAAAAUCAACAAUAUACAAUUAAACUUGCUUUCAUUCAUAUAUUUGUUAGAAUUAUUGGUUCAAACACGCGUUCUUACAUGUGUUUUCCUUUCACUUCUGACCUAAGUAAUAAUUAAUUUUUAAUAAAUUUCUUUUUUUUUAUAAGCAAAAUAUAUUAUAAUGGAGUAUAAGGGGUACUUGAACCCUUAUAAUUCAAAGUCAGAAGUUAAAUGCUUUGAAUACAUCCCAAAGGGUCAUGACACCAGUCCUUAAAUGAUAAAUUAGAGUUUCGGCCAUACCGACUACUAAACCAAACCCACGAACUGAAUUUAAUGUCAUCCACAAGAAGAAGAGCAUUUGGAAAAGCUCCCUUGAAAAUCACACUAUUUCUAAGCUUCCAUAUGUUCCAAGAAGUUGCCAGCCAAAUCAAAUGUUUAACCCGUCCACCCUUCUUUGAUUUUACCAUGUCACCAAAUAGCGCAAAAUGAUUCCAACCUUUUUUAUUCGGUGGAAGUCUCUUUCCUAUCCACUUAAAAAUCGCUUCCCAAAUUCGUUUGCUAAACGGACAGAGGAAAAAAAGAUGGUUGCAAUCCUCAUUAUCAAGAAAGCAAAAAACACAAGAUAACUCAUGCACGUUAAUAAGGAUACCUCUGUAAAAAAAUAGUGAGAGAAUUUAAGAUAUUAAGUCAAACUCUCAAUUCUAAGACGGUAUCAGAGUCUCUCGAAUAUUCAUUGAGUUUAAUAGUAUUGGGCGUAAGAGGGGUAUGUAAGGUGAGGCAAUUUCAUCCAUCUCACUUCCGAUGUGGACUUCUUAACCGUUGUCAUAGGGCACGUGUUUAGUGCGACAAAAAGUGAGUGUCAAGUAAGGUGGAAUUCAGUUGCAUUGUAAUAGUCAAGAGUGUCAUAUAUUUAUUUUACAAAUAAUCAAGUGUAUCACACCAAAACCAAACAUAUUAAUGUGGUUUUUCACAAGAUCAAGGAGAUGAUAUGAUUUUUUAUGUUUUUUUAAUGCGGAAUUUGAUAAGAUAUAUUUUUAAGGUUUCUAAAAGAAGGUGAAGAAUAAUUAAGUAGUACAGAAAGAUAAUUAGAAACAGGAUAAGAACUAGCUAGAUAUUUAUCGACAAGUUUUUUAUUUUUGUUGACAAAUUACACAUUGUCAAGUUGUUUUCAGCCUAUUACGUUAAAACUAUAAUUAGAAACUGGGGUAUAGAAUUUGCCUUGUUUCAUACCCAUUAGUAAGUUGUUAACAUGCAUUAUUGAAAUAAAAAAUAUAUAAGAAAUUUUGUCAGCAACACAUCCAAGAGUCCGAUUGCAUUGACAAUAUGGCAAGGUCAGCAUAUAUAUAUCCUUUAGAAGGUGACAGAUCUAAGAGUCAAUGUAAAAAUCAUUUGUUGAUUAUUAAAACAAAAUCAAUCACUAUUAUACUUGCUUUACUUUUUUUUUGAAGUCGUUUUAAUCUCCUCCCGAUUGCGUAUANNNNNNNNNNNNNNNNNNNNNNNNNNNNNNNNNNNNNNNNNNNNNNNNNNNNNNNNNNNNNNNNNNNNNNNNNNNNNNNNNNNNNNNNNNNNNNNNNNNNNAAAACGUUAUUGAGAGGUGUAACAUUUGGUGUCAAACUAGUUGGUGUCAACGGAUCCUGACUCUAUAUAUAUAUAUAUAUAAAUUAAAGACUUACUCAAACGAAUAUGAGUUACAAUACCCAUGUAUAUAAGUUUGGUGUUAAUGGUUCAUUCAAUGAAUUUUCAAUUUUAUAUAUAAAGGUCAUACAAUGUUCACAUAAUUAUAUUAAGUAGAAUAAUAAUUAAAAUAACACAUUAUAAGAGUAAUUACAUUUAACCAUAAAUAUCUUCAUUGUGCAAUAUCAUAUACUCGAUAGAAGUAUCAAUAUUAUACUUAUAUUUGUCUAUUAUGAACUUACAAAAUGUGAAAUUUGGGUGAAACACUAGCAUAAUAUAAUUUCGAGUGAUGGUCGGAAUAGCGAUCAGAGUUGUAGUCGGUGGUGACAACUGAUGGUGGUGGUUUUCAAUGGUCAAAGUGGUAGUCAGAGUGGUGAUGGGUGAUGGUGUAAUUGGUAAUAUGGUCAAACUGAUUAUCAAAAGUGAAUAGAAUAUUGAUCAACACUGAUCAAAUUAAUGGUCGAGAGUAAUCAAAGUGGUGGUUGACGAUAGUCGAUGGCGGUCCACGGAGUGGUGGUUUAAUGUGGGGUUUGGUUUUUAACAAUUGGUUUAGGAAUUAUAUCAUCGAGUUCCACAAGCAACUUACAUGCUCUACUCCAAUUCUCACAACUUCAUUAUACCAAUAAAACAAAAUACAAUAAUUCAUACAUUUACAAAUUUAAAUAUGAUCACAAGCAUAAUCAUGAAAUGAAAGGUCACCAAAUUUAUUAAAAUUUAAAGAACAAGUUGCUAAAUGAGGCAAACAGGCUUACCCCAUUAUUAAAAUUACACACAUCUCACGCAUAAAUAAAUAUAGUGCAUAUUUUCAAUUAAAGUAUGAAUUUAGCAAAAUCACAUUGACACACUUCGAUUUUGUCAAAAGUCACACUUUGUAACUCCAACAAAAUCAUAGUAUCCCUAUAAUUUAGUUAAAGUCAUUGUAAUUCCAAUUGUGCACACAAACAAUAACUGAAAUAAAAUUAAGUACCCGUGACCCUUGUAGAAACAUAAGUACUAAGCAUAUGGCUUUGAAGUACUUUUGACAUGAUCAAAUUCUAAGAACAUUGGAAACCAGAAGGAACGGAUUUUUCACAAGCACUAAGUAAGAGACUUAAUGUGAUAGGAACAUUCAAAUUGAUACCAAGAACAUUAGCCUUAAUAGCAGUACAAAGACAAAGUGCUGCAUCCAAAUCAGCCAAACCUUGAAUCAAUGCACAACACUUGCUUGAAGCAGGACUUCCAACAAUAAUAUUACCAAGUCCUAAAAGAUUAGCACAAACACCUAGUUUUAAUGUGUCCCUAGGACAUUUUUGUGUGGUUGAAGGAGGUGGGGUACUACCCUUAGGUGGAGUAGUAGCCUUGGGUGGAGGACUAGGUUUAGGUGUUGUUGAAUGUGGUGGUGGACUAGCCUUAGGUGUUUUUGGUGGUGGUGGAGGACAAGGUGUAGGUGGUGGAGGGCUAGGCUUAGGUUUUGGAGAUGGAGUUGGUUUGCAUGUACCACAAGCAUGAGAAAAUGUUGAAUAAGCAAGAAGAGAAAACAAUAUAAUUAGUGCACUAAGCUUGUUGGAAGCCAUUUUUACACUAAUGUGUUUUUGUGUGUUUUGAUGUUGAAUAUUAGAAUGAGAAAGAAAGGGAGGAUUAGACCAUUUUUAUAGGCAAAAUUUUGUGAGUGGUGUUAAUUUGUUUUUUUACUAGACAUUUAGAAUGUCUCAUCACUAAAAUAUUGCUCAUAAUAAUUGAGACCGAAUAAAAAUUAAAAUAUUCUUUUUAUUUUUUACUCAAAAAAUAUAUUAUCUAUCAUCUCAUCACCCCUCUCUAUCCCUCAUGUGUCUAUUUCCUCCCCUCACUUUCUCUGCCUCCAACCCUCUCGAUCUCCUAUCUCUCUUUUUGUUUUUUAAAUUAGGAUAGAUAUUAGUAGAUAUUUUUAUAUAUUAAUUAAAAUAGCACUAAUCACUUUACUUUUUAUCGAAUAGUUUGAUGGAUAGAAAUUUCAUCUUUAAGGUAGAUAAGUGAAAUGAUCGAAAUUCAAAUUCUGGCUCCUUACAUAUAUAAUGCAAUGUCCUAUCAACUGAGUUAAUAAGCUCACGGGACAUAGUCAUUUUAUUUUUAUUACACCCUUUCCAAUUUUUAUCAAUUACUAGUAAAUGUCAUUUUUAAUUUUCAAUAUAUUAUUAUUAUUAUUAUUAUUAUUAUUAUUAUUAUUAUUAUUUUCAAUUGGAUUUCUUAAUUAAUACUAUGUGUACCAUUUUAAGUCAAUAUUUUAUAUUUAUAUUUACAGUAAUAAUAAAUACAUCAAUACUCAAUAAGUUAAUUUGUUAAAAUUAUUAUUAUCUUCUUUUUUUUUUCAUUUACAAACAUUUUCUUAAUCUAUGUGAAAUAAGAAAGAAACAGUCUAGAUAUAUAUCCCCUUAUAGUGAAGGAUAUCUUGUGAUGGGAUACAAAAUUGAGGUGAACAAUAUCCAUAGAAUAUCCCCUUAUAGUGUAGGAUAUCUUGUAAUAUAAUGGGAUAAAAAUUUGAGGUGAACAAAAUGCAUAGUUUAUUUGUAAGAUCAUAGAGAGUUGAUUAAUGAGAUUUCACUCUUCAUAAUUUAAACUAUUCUACAUUUGAAGGGUUUCUGCAUUCUGCAAAGUAAAUUUGAGCUAACUAUAUAUAUAAAGCACUUGAAGUGGAACAUGAACUUUUGUGGGCAAAACUUGUGUUACACUUCAAGAAUAUGAACAAAUUGUACUCUUGUAAAAAAAAUACUAUGAAAAAAAAUACUUUUUGUCAAAAAUUAAUAAAGACUUAUAGAAUAACUAUAGUUAAUUAAAACUUCAUGUUUCUUAAUGAAGGUGAAGCAAAGAGUAGUAGGAAAACAGAGUUAGAAAAAUAAUAAAAGAAUUACAUGCAUGCAUGUAGUCAAGUUGUUUUUCUUGACAAAUAUUGUCAAGUUGUGAUUGGGAUAUUUUGCAAGUUGUGCAUUACGUUAAAAUUAUUAAGGAGAAAUAGAGUUUGCUUGGGAGUGAAGUCAAUAGAAAAUUUUGUGAGUAACAAAUGCACAAGCACACAUGAUUACAAAUUUUGAGUCGGCAAAGGUUCCAAUUGCAGCGACUAUAGAGCAAGAUUAAUUAGCAUCCUAUUAUUAGAAGGUGACAGAUCUAAGAGUCAAUGUAAAUAUGAUUUCAUUAUUAGAACAAAAUCAACUAUGAUUAAGCUGAUUUCAUUGACAAAUUUUCAUUUUAGUUCAAAAGAAUGUAGCGGUAUACUCACACAUACUAAAUGCUGAAAAGUCGAUAGUGAAUUCAAACUUUUACUGAAAUAUAUAUUUUUCUAUCGAUUUUUUUUUAUGUCUGUAAGUGAAGUGGAAAAUAGAAAAUUACAACACAAAAUUUCGAGGUCCGAAUAAAAGUGUACAAUCUUGUAAUAAGGGAAAACAAUAAAAAAAAUUUGAGAAAAAAAGAAGUAAAGACUACUAAUUUCAAAAACAAGAAAUAAAAAACAAUUUAGAGCAUCCACAAUGGAGAUACUCAUUUUUUAGUACUUAACUGAACCUCACGUGUACACAUCACUCAUUUAUAANNNNNNNNNNNNNNNNNNNNNNNNNNNNNNNNNNNNNNNNNNNNNNNNNNNNNNNNNNNNNNNNNNNNNNNNNNNNNNNNNNNNNNNNNNNNNNNNNNNNNNNNNNNNNNNNNNNNNNNNNNNNNNNNNNNNNNNNNNNNNNNNNNNNNNNNNNNNNNNNNNNNNNNNNNNNNNNNNNNNNNNNNNNNNNNNNNNNNNNNNNNNNNNGUUCACUUGCGAAAAUUAUCCAUCACUAUACAUCAUUAUAAAUGGGAUCCAUAAAAAUAAAAUAGGUACUAAUGAGACCCACAAUAACUAUACAUCUAUUUUGUUUUUGUGGAUCCCAUUUAUAAAGAUGUAUAGUUAUUUGUGAGAUGUGUUAUUGAUAAGGCCUAUUUAGAACUUUUUAAGAGAUGUUGGGUUGGAGGGAUUGAGUACUUAUUAGAUACUAUUAUUAAAAAAUUAUAAAUCAGUAAUAUGUACACGUGGAGCCCGGUUAAGUACUAAAAAAUGAAUAUCUCCAUUGUGGAUGCUCUUGGCAUUGACAUAUAGAGGAAUGUUAAGGUCAAACUAUCAAACAAACUCUUGUAGCCACAUUCAUCUCUUGGGCCACAUCAUCACCUAUUUUUAUUCUUUACCUAGUAACCGGUUCUUCAAGUUUUUACAACACUGUUAAUUUUUUAGUUUUAAUUUAAUUCUUGCAAGUGCGUAUUCAAGUUUCUAUAAUGAGAAAAUUUCUUUUUACCACCCUAUUAGGUUGGCGAAAAUACCCUCCUAUAUAUAAUUUUUAUCUUUAUCGUUAUAAAAGGAAUAAAACUGAUCACUCCUUAAACAACUCUUUAAUCACCUCCUUAACCCUAAUUUGUAUUUAAUUUCCCUCCAAACAGCUAUUUAAAUUAAAAUAAAAUAAAAAAAUUCGUAUUAAGGGUUCCCAUGAGUCAUAGAAUAUGCAGCUGUAAUUAUUAUUCUCAAAAAAAUAGGUUUCACAUGUUGCAAUAGUUUCAUUCCAUUUUCUCUGCAGACUUCCUCCCCAAUCGCCUCGACUAUCGCCCUCUACUUCCUCCCUCACCGCCUCCACUUUCGGCCAUUGUCAUCUGAAGAGCACCGCCACAAAGUAUACAAACCUGACCAGUUUGAAAUUGGCUUCUUCUGCUUCAUGGCCGAUGUUAAGAGUCCCACAUCGGUUGAGAGAUGGCCUGACUAAGUGUUUAUAUACUAGAGGCAAUCCUCACCUUACAAGCCGGUUUUGUAAGGAUGAGNNNNNNNNNNNNNNNNNNNNNNNNNNNNNNNNNNNNNNNNNNNNNNNNNNNNNNNNNNNNNNNNNNNNNNNNNNNNNNNNNNNNNNUAGUGCUGGGCGUGAGGGGGUGUGUUAAGAGUCCCACAUCGGUUGAGAGAUGGCCUGACUAAGUGUUUAUAUACUAGAGGCAAUCCUCGCCUUACAAGCCGAUUUUGUAAGGAUGAGUUAGGCCCAAUACUCAUUUCUAAGAGCCGAGAAUUGCUUGCUUCACCUCCGAUGCUCUUCAAAGUUAUUAUUUGUAUAUGUAUGUUUAGAAGUUAUUAUUGGAGUAAAUGUCAUGGACAAAGUUCUAUUUAUAUGAGUAUUUAUGAAUCUAAAAAUCAAAUUAUAUAAAUAUUAUAUGUUGAAUUUUAUCUAUUAAAUCAUUUGUUAAUGAUAAUGAUAAUGAUAUGCUGGUAAAAAAAAAUUCAUAAUAGUAUGCAUGUGAAUAUGAUACUUCACAAAACUCGUGCAACGCACGAGUCGGAGUCUAGUAAUCCAUAAACAUUCAUACAAAGCCAACCCACUUGUUAUUGGGAUAUAAGUUAUCAACUUCAACUCAUUCACAGUAUCUCUUUUCAUCCCAUGUUUCUUUACUACUCCACAAUAUGUAGAAAAAUUAGGAAAAUGUUUUCGGAAUUCUUUUUAGUGUAAAUUUUUACACUGAAAAAAAACUUUCGAAAAUAUUUUUCGAAAUUUUCUGGGUAUUUUUCGGGGUAGAAUAGAAAUGCAAGGGUGGAAGAGAAAAAUUCCAACUCAUCCUCCUACGAGUUGCACAGUCCAACAAGCUAAAAGAGUCCAAAGUUCUUAUGUUUUUUAAAAUAUUUAAAUCUGUACUUCUGAAAAAUAUUUAUAUUUUAUACAUGAGUAGAAAGCAAAAGAAUAUCAAUAAAUUUAGUUAAAGUUGCUACCACAAUGUAUUUUUUGUUUGUAGAUGAAAUGACAAUCACCACAAAAAAUUACAAAACAGCAAGAUCAUCGGUUUGAACCAAAUAAAAAUGUUUAAUCUAACUAUAUUUUUAUUUAUCAGUUGAAUUAAUUCUUACAUAUUUCUACUACCAUUUAUAUCAACUAUACAUAGACAAUUAUAACUGCACAUGUUUGAGCAUGUAACGACAAACUUUUUAAGGUUUUUAACUAGUUGCCCAUGGUUCAAAUUCGGUCGAUGGAACUUCUCUUUUUAAUGUGAAUUUUUACCUUAUCCGUCAUAGGUAUUUCUUAUGGAUAUUGGAUCUAACUGUCAUCCUAGAUAGAGAUCCAAUUUCCUUAUUUCCAGGCUAGAAAUGUCUGAAGAGUGAAGAUUAUAUCAAUCUGUAUCUAGCAUGUUGUGGUACACAUUUGCAAUAUAGAUUACACAUGAUUGAUAAAAGUUCAUUAAGUAGUGUACAAAAAAUAAUGAUUGUAAAUUGACAUUUGGCUUUAAAACUUGGUUUAACAAUGAUAUAUAUCAUUCAGUUCCACUAAUUAAGCAACUUACAUGCUCAAGUCCAAUAAAUAACCCAAAAAAGAACAAUUUACAAUGAAUCAAAUUGCAUAAUUUAAAUAUGACAAGAACAUUCAUUCCACAUAAAAAUAAAUACAGUAUAGUACACAUACACACUGUGAUUUUGAUAAAAAAAACCACACAUUAUAGUUUUAUCAAAAUCAUAGUAUCACUGUAAUUUCGUUAAACUCACUUUAUUUCGACCGUGCACACAAAAUAAGAAAAACAAUGAAAGUAUAGUAACAUGAGUACUAAGCAUAUCCCUUGAAGUACUUUUGACAUGAUUCUAAGAACAUUGGAAACCAGAAGGAACAGAUUUUUCACAAGCACUAAGUAGGAGACUUAGUGUGAUAGGAAUAUUCAAGUUGUUACCAAGAACAUUAGCCUUAAUGGCAGUACAAAGGCAAAGUGCUGCUUCUGAAUCAGCCAAACCUUGAAGUAAUGCACAACACUUGCUUGAAACAGGAGUUCCAACAAUAACAUUAUGUCCUAGAAUAUCAGCACAAACACCUAGCUUUAAUGUGUCUCUAGGACAUUUUUGUGAUGUUGGAGGAGUAGGAGUUGGAGGUGAUGUUGAAGGAGUGGGAGGAGGAGGAGGAGGACAAGCAUUAGGUGAUGGCGGUGGUGGGCUAGGCUUAGGUUUUGGUGGUGGAGGGCUAGGCUUAGGUUUAGGAGUUGGGUUGCAUGUACCACAAGCAUGAGAAAAUGUUGAAUAAGCAAGAAGAGAAAACAAUAUGAUUAGUGCACUGAGCUUGUUAGAAGCCAUAGUCAAUUAAGGAUGCAAAAAUGAAAAGAAUGUGACCAUUUUUAAGGGGAGAAUUGGACCAUUUUUAAUAGGCAACAUUUUGUGAGGUUCAGUCAUAUCAUGUGGAAAAAUCUGAUUGAGUGGAAGAGAGUGUGAUAUUGAUAAUGAUAAAUGAUAAUGUUUAAAUAGAUUUUUUGUAAGCUUGUGAAAUAAUGGUUUUAUAUAUUAGUGGUUGUUAAUUUUCUAAUUAAAAUAUUUGUUAUUUUUAAUAAUUUAUUUUUCAUAUUUUAUGAUAUUAUUAUUUCAUUUUACUUAGUAGCUUAUAUGUCAUGGGAAGGUUACAAUUCUAAAGAUGUUGUACUCUAAUUUCCUUCAUGAAUUAUUAGAAACCGAUUCAUCCGAUUCACAUUUUAAUUUAUCCUCAGGUUCUAGUCCGAAGCUAAUAAUGAAUGUGGAGAAACCUCAUCUUAUAUUAUAGUCUUAAUUAAAUUAACUUGGAGGAAUUUUCUAUUUAGUUAGUACAUCGAAACAACUAUAAAUUCUGCAAGAAUAUUAGGGUGUCUCUAUAAACAUUUGGAAUUCUUGUAAUUGCAAUUUUGAUUUUUCGGUUCACACAAUUAAGUUUUUUUUUGUACAUUAGUCUGUAAUUUUUCGAUUCUUCUUCAAAACUCUCACUAUGUGAAUAACAUUGGUUUAUUUUUUCAAAGAUGAAUAAGUUUUAGGAAAAUGUUAAACAGUGCUUCUGUGACACUCUUUAAGCAUCUUAAUAGUAAGUUUUUGUUAAAAUUUUAUGAAAAUGUAUGAAGUCAACACAUUGAAAAUUAAAAUAUUUCACUUUUUAAAUAAAUUAUUUCUUUAAAUGAAAUACUUAAAGAGUCACCUACCUUUUAGUAAAACCGUAAGUAUACAUAUGAAAAUUUCUCUUUUAAGUCCCAUGGGUUUCUCUUAGACACCUCAAAAUUUCAUUUUUAUUGUUCAUAAUCUACGUUCUGAAUUUGGUGUAGGUUCGAAACGUAAUUUUCGGACCAAUUUUAUAUUGAUAAAUUUCAAAUUUUAGAUUAUGAAAUUUUCAAAAAUAGAAACUUGAUCCUUAAUGAGAUUUGUAUCACCAUUAUCGUUUCUCUGCUUCUGAAAAUAAUGUGAAGAGAAUAUAUGCUUCAAAUUCAUCAUAAUUACAUUCAAGUGUAUGAAAGCAUCAAAGAGAAUAAAGUGAAGAGAAUCCAUUUAAAAAUACAUAAAGAAAAAUCAAUUUUUUUUCAAAAUUUAAAACAAACGCACCCUUAUUGUCAUUGGAUAAACCAGAGCAAUUCCUCUGUUUUGAAGACGAAGACGAACUUAUAGUAAAAUUGGUGAUGCAAAUUAAAUCUCAUUAAGGAUUAAACUUCUAUUUUGAAAAAUUUCGGAAUCUAAAAUCCAAAAAAUUUCAAUGUAAAAUUGGUUCAAAAAUUACAUUUUAAACCUACAUCAAAUUCAGAACGUAGUUUCCAAAUUGAAUUUUAAGAGCAAAAACAGAAUUUUAGAGGUAUAAGGAAAACAUGGGGGCCUAAAUAGAAAUUUUCAAUGCAUAUAUAACCAACCCACUUAUUAUUGGGCUUUGAAUUACCUAUUUAUCUUCUAUAUAUUAAGAUUGUAUGCAAUGCAGCUGAUAAUUAGAGUUUAGAAAGAUUGUAUGCGAUUAGUGUCUAAGACACUAAGAUGGUGUGUCUCUGCAAUUGUGUGAAUGAACUGCAUGAAUGUGGGAUCGGAAUUUGCUGCGGUAGAAAGAGCACGCAGUUAUGCACCGUAAUUGAUCUAAAUUAUUAAUUUUACAUUAAAGGAUUUAUAUUACAUAUACACCACUAAAAUAAUUCUGACCAUUAAUUAUAUAAUCGAACAGUUGAAGCUGGAACUGCGAUCAGAGUUCUAGUUAUAGGCUUACAGCAAAAGAAAUCUAUAUCACAUGAAUGUGUGGUCCACAUUUGCAAUACAGCUUGCAUGUGAUUGAUUAAAGUUCAUUAAGCACUGUACAAAAUACUUGUAAAUUGGCCUUUUGUCUAUAAAACUUAGGUUAACAAUAUUGAUAUCAUUCAGUUCACUUCCCCUAAUUAAGCAACUUACAUGCUCAAGUCCAAUAAAUAACCUAAAUAAAACAAUUUACAAUAAUCCAUGCAUUGCAUAAAUUUAAGUAAGUAUGACAACAACAUUCAUCAAAUAAAAGUUCCCCAAAUAUUAUUAAAAUUAAAAAGCAAAGUUGCUAAAUGAGGCAACCAGGCUUGCCUUAUUAUUAAAACGAAACUCAUCCCAAAUAGAUAUAGUUACGUAUUUAUUAGCAGAAUCACAAAGAUACACCGUGAUUUUGACAAAAGCUACACUUCAAAGUUUUUCCAACAUCAUAGUGUCACUGUAAUUUCGUUAAACUCACUGUAUUUUUAUUGUGCACAUAAACAUAUUAACUAAAAUUAAAACAGCAAUGAAAGUACUAAGCAUAUGGCUUGAAGUACUUUUGACAUGAUCAAAUUCUAAGGACAUUGGAAACCAGAAGGAACAGAUUUUUCACAAGCACUAAGUAGGAGACUUAGUGUGAUAGGAACAUUCAAGUUGAUACCAAGAAUAUUAGCCUUAAUAGCAGUACAUAAACAAAGUGCUGCAUCCAAAUCAACCAAACCUUGAAGCAAUGCACAACACUUGCUUGAAGCAGGAGAUCCAAUAACAAUAUUAACAAGUCCUAAAACAUCAGCACAAACACCUAGCUUUAAUGUGUCAGUUGGACAUUUUUUUGAUGUUGAAGGAGGUGUAGGUGUUAUCGAAGGAGUAGGUGGAGGAGGACAAGCCUUAGGUGGCUUAGGUGAAGGUGGUGGAGGGCUAGGCUUAGGUUUUGGAGAUGGAGUUGGUUUGCAUGAACCACAAGCAUGAGAAAAUGUUGAAUAAGCAAGAAGAGAAAACAAUAUAAUUAGUGCACUAAGCUUGUUGGAAGCCAUUGUUAAUUAAGGUUGUAAAAAUUAAAAGAAAUGUGUGUGUGUG